AAUAAGUGCAGCCAUGGAUUUUCGUGCCUAACGUUUGACCGUCCGUCUUAUUUAAAAAAUUUGUAAAAAAAUUAAAAAUAUUUAGUCACAUAUAAAGUACUAUUUAUGUUUUAUCAUCUAAUAGCAAUAAAAAUACUAAUCAUAAAAAUUUUUCAAAUAAGACGAACGGUCAAAUGUAAAUAGUGUAAAACUGUACUUAUU
Molecule: microRNA precursor, 201 nt
Filed under: Oryza glumipatula
Lineage: Eukaryota; Viridiplantae; Streptophyta; Magnoliopsida; Poales; Poaceae
Description: MIR812 microRNA precursor family
Rfam family: MIR812 microRNA precursor family
Source: Rfam by way of RNAcentral